Molecule: long non-coding RNA, 484 nt
Organism: Pollicipes pollicipes
Lineage: Eukaryota; Metazoa; Arthropoda; Thecostraca; Pollicipedomorpha; Pollicipedidae
Exons: 3
Source: RefSeq, a predicted model, not a curated record
UCGGCCCUGCGCCGUUUCAUCUGGGUUUACUUCGCAGCGAGCGGACGUGCCGGUGGAAGUGUGCGAGGGUUUCUUGAAAUAUUGCGGUGUUUUUCGGUGCAGUGAUUAAGGAAGUGACAUAGUAUCAAAGGUAGUAUUGCUGCCUACAUGGGGCAUGGAAUUUUUCGUGUUUGGGUGAUAGAAAUGCCCCAAUGACGACACAUUUGCUCAGCUCGUCUUGGUAUUGGCUGUUCUAUUUGGAGUGCGGCGAGUUAUCUUCCGUAAAUUAAUGCACUCCUGGUUGCUGACAUGAGUGGUCCACCGUACUAUCCCCAUGUAUACAGACCAUCGGCCCACGACUCGCCGUACCAGCCGCCGGCCAGCGCAGCGCUCUCGCCGCCCAUGUCGCAGGCGCGCCUGCCCUACUCGGCGGCCGGCAGCGGCUACCACCCGGCGUCAGUGGUGGUGACGGCUGCCGCACCGGCCGCCGCCCACCACGACGUGC